Oncorhynchus kisutch (coho salmon) is the source of this 1285-nucleotide long non-coding RNA. RefSeq lists it as uncharacterized. NCBI's taxonomy places the organism in Eukaryota, Metazoa, Chordata, Actinopteri, Salmoniformes, Salmonidae. The transcript is spliced from 3 exons. The record is from RefSeq and is a predicted model, not a curated record.
CAAUUGGGAUUACAAUAUGUUAUCAAAUCAGAGCAAACAAAGGCUUCUCUCUCUCUCUCUCUCUGCGUUCUCUGUGCUGUUGGCACGAGAGGAGUUGUGUACUAGCCAGUCUUCAGAGCCAGGGAGAGUCUGAUGCUAAAUAAAGAGAGAUUCCCCGCAAACUGAUUACGAUUCCAGAAUAAUUGAUUAUCCAAUAAGAAAUGAGCAGCAGCACCGGUGCCAUGUUGCAUGAUGUCACUGAUGCAGAUUGAACACCGAAAAUACUGUUUAGCGUGCCUACCUGACCGGGGUUAGAAGAGAUCAACUAGAAGGGAAGAUGUGGGGUUUGGCCGAGUGUGGUGGACUCUGAGAGAACAGGUGGACAUAAGCCAGAGGAGACAUGGAGAGCCAGCCCAAUCCCAGCCAGGAGAAACAUGCCAGGGCCAGCCAGACAGCGGUUGUGUCCCAAACGGCACCCUUCUCACUUUAUAGUGCACUUCUUUUGACCAGGGCCCAUAGGGCUCUGGUCAAAAAUAGUGCACUUUAAAGUGGUUAGGGUGUCAUUUGAGACUCUGCCAGAGCCAGCUUGGCCACAAACAGGGGUCAGGCAGGGCCAGGCGUCACAUAAAUCAACCUGACGUGUUCACCCAGGCCUGCCCACGCCCUGUGCCAGGGCCUACCCGCGGCCUGCACCCGUGCCCACCCCGCACCAACCAGGCCCACACCCCACUGGUGCCUGGGCUAUUUCCAUGCCUGGUUCAGGGGUGGAUUUGGAACGGGUCAGCUGAUCGGGUUCCAGGGCCCCGGUCAGAAAGUCUUCAGGUGCCUUCUGCCUUUACAGUCUCCCAUGCCAAGGAGUGUGGAGGGAGGCUGGUCCUAACACAAAAGCAGACUGAACAGAGAGAUAGUGUGUUAUUGUUUGAGUGGGUCUCAGAGGUAUUUUGAUGACCGUGUGUAUUUGAAUGGUAAUGUGGACCUAGCUAAGAAUUGUUAAUAAACUGCUCAGCUAGGAGAGCGGAGUAUUUUUAAGAUGAUAUUCAUCUGUCCUUUACAAGACAAUUCUGUAUUAAGGAUAACUGUGUAGCAUCGCCAUAUAGACAUUCAAGCAAUAAUCUUCUCAUCUGUCCAAACAUAGCUAAUUAAUUAGCCUGUUGAUUUCUGUUUCAGAUAUCCAUGUGCAACUGAUAACGAUAACCUUAAAUCAGUUUGUUCGUUAAGCGAUCACUUUGCUACGGGCUUUUGAGGAUGCAAUGUGCCAUUAUUCAAUUAACAGAGCAAUCUCCUUUUAAUAAAUGGAAUUGUAUUU